Molecule: ribosomal RNA, 253 nt
Filed under: uncultured bacterium
Lineage: Bacteria
Description: partial 16S ribosomal RNA
Rfam family: Bacterial small subunit ribosomal RNA
Source: RNAcentral
UACGGAGGGGGCUAGCGUUGUUCGGAAUUACUGGGCGUAAAGCGCACGUAGGCGGCUUCGUAAGUCAGAGGUGAAAGCCCGGGGCUCAACCCCGGAACUGCCUUUGAGACUGCGGCGCUCGAAUCCGGUAGAGGCGGGUGGAAUUCCUAGUGUAGAGGUGAAAUUCGUAGAUAUUAGGAAGAACACCAGUGGCGAAGGCGGCCCGCUGGACCGGGACUGACGCUGAGGUGCGAAAGCGUGGGGAGCAAACAGG